AAUUGGAAGGCAAUUGGAAAGGAAUUGCAGCCAGUAGCAAAAUGCAAUGUGAAAGAAGUCGAUGCUUGUAAAGUAAGACAAAUGCAGGCAGAGGGAGGAAAUGGAGAAUUAUGGAGAAUCAGGUGAUAACUUAUUCAUAGAUUUCUGCAGAAAACACAGACAGCGAGUAAGCCAACUGUGAAAUAGGGCUGCUGUUCUUUAAAUGUCUAUUAGCUAUUGCAAUCCUUUCUGAGCACCUGAUCUCUGCUCCACACUCCAUGGUAACAGGGGGAGAAAUCAUUAUGCAUGAUUAACUUAUGACAUAUCAUGUUAUAAUAUUAGGUAAUACAAUGAGAAUAAAAUAGAUGAGAUUUGAAACAAAUGUUAUAGGUGACCAUGUAAGUUGUUGUUGUUAGCACCAAUUCCAUCAUCGACAUCUUAGGCCAAGGGUGGGCUCUAACAUUAGACAACUUCUCAUAAAAAGAUAGUCAUGGCCAGGGCCGUAGCCAGAAAAAUUUCAGUGGGUUUGAAACUUUUAUUUAGAAAAUCAUGAAGGUUAGUUCCAUAUCACAAAAUAAUUUAAAUAGUAUGGUUCAUUCUAUCUAUAUAUAUAAAUGAGUGAUGGCAUAACGGUGACUCACAAAACAACAAAACUACAGGCCCCCCAACCUCGAAAUUUGACAACACAACCCAUCAUCCACGCCUCUAGGUUGAUACAACAAAAAGAAAAGAAAAAUAAAGUCCUAAUUAGAGGGAGAGCAAUAAUUUUUUAACCAAUUGCUGCCAGUUUAGAGGGCUAAUCUCUGCCCACUUGGUCUCCUAGCACCAACUCAGCCAAGGGACAGCCAGGGUUCAGUUAGGGGACAGGCAGACUUAGGCCCCACUUAGGCCUCUUCCACAGAUUAUCUAAUUUGCACUGGAUUAUAUGCCAGUGUAGACUCAAGGCCCUUCCACACAGCUAUAUAACCCAUUUAUAAUCUUAUAUUAUCUGCUUUGAACUGGUUUAUUUUGACUCCACACUGCCAUAUAAUCCACUUCAGUGUGCAUUUUAUACAGCUGUGAAGAAGGGGCCUCAUAUAAUCCACUUCUAAGCAGAUAAUAUAAGAUUAUAAAUAUACAGUAGAGUCUCACUUAUCCAACAUAAACAGUCCGGCAGAACGUUGGAUAAGUGAAUAUGUUGGAUAAUAAGAAGGGAUUCAGAAAAAGACAAUUAAACAUCAAAUUAGGUAAUCAUUAUACAAAUUAAGCACCAAAACAUCAUGUUAUACAACAAAUUUGACAGAAAAAGUAGUUCCAUGUGCACUAAUUCUAUGUAGUAAUUACUGUAUUUACCCUUUACCUUAACUACCACCAAUUCCUCGAUACUUUAUUUCCCAUACCACCAUACUUCGCCACAGCAACGCGUGGCCGGGCACAGCUAGUAUUUUUAUAUAGACUUAAUUAAAUCAAUUUUCUAUUUUAGUUACAAUGUUUCAAGUCGUAAAAUUACUGAAAAUGACUGUUAAUUGGUAAUUUAUAGUUACAAAAGAAUAUCAAAACAUCUGGUGGAAACACUUGAAACUUGUCAGUACAGUUUGACAAAUCAGGCUCCAUCCAUAAACUUCAGUGUACACUCAAGAGUGCAAGUCCAGUGAGUCUUGCUUGCCCCAUUAUGCUUCUUAUGUAUGUUUUCCAACAUUUAAGUUACACACACACACACAUACACACAUACACAUUUUAAAUUGGCAUAUCUAAAAAUCAAGAUCAAUGACCCAUAGAUAUUAUCAAAUUACAAUAGAGUCUAGCUUAUCCAACCUUUGCUCAUCCAACGAUCUGUAUUAUCCAUGCAGUAUGCCCCCCACCCAGAUCCACAGCUGUUUCUCUAGGCAGGAAUACACAGUGGACUAAUAUGCCCAACAAAAGCACAAGUGCAUCCAUGCUCCCAAACAAGUUGCAGAUUUGUUGUAAAACAUGAUGUUUUGGUGCUUAAUUUGUAAAAUCAUAACAAUUUGACGUUUAAUUGGCUUUCCCUUAAUCCCUCCUUAUUAUCCAAUAUUUUCACUUAUCCAAUGUUCCGCUGGCCCAUGAUGUUGGAUAAGAGAGACCCUACUAUAUUAGAAACUACAUAAAAUACAUCAAGUGUAUUUAAACUUAAGUUUUUCUUGUGGAGUGUUUUUGGGAUUACAGUUCCCCAAAUGGACGUGGCUUGUCAUAAGACAAAAGCACAGAUCUAAAAGACACUACCAGGGUAUUUAACCAUAAUGAAUACAGUAGAGUCUCACUUAUCCAACGUUCUGGAUUAUCCAAUGCAUUUUUGUAGUCAAUGUUUUCUAUACAUCGUGAUAUUUUGGUGCUAAA
Molecule: long non-coding RNA, 2316 nt
Organism: Anolis carolinensis (green anole)
Lineage: Eukaryota; Metazoa; Chordata; Lepidosauria; Squamata; Anolidae
Exons: 2
Source: RefSeq, a predicted model, not a curated record